RNAcentral lists this ribosomal RNA (200 nucleotides) under uncultured bacterium. RNAcentral's name for it is "partial 16S ribosomal RNA". It matches the Rfam family "Bacterial small subunit ribosomal RNA", at positions 8 to 206 of the family's 1533-position model. The record is from RNAcentral.
AGAGUUUGAUCAUGGCUCAGAAUCAACGCUGGCGGCGUGCCUAACACAUGCAAGUCGAACGCGAAAGUUCCGCAAGGGAUGAGUAGAGUGGCAAACGGGUGAGUAACACGUGGGUGACCUGCCUUCGAGCGGGGGAUAACGUCCCGAAAGGGACGCUAAUACCGCAUGACAUCCUGCCUUUGAAGAGGCGGAGAUCAAAG